Mycetomoellerius zeteki is the source of this 149-nucleotide long non-coding RNA. RefSeq lists it as uncharacterized. The record is from RefSeq and is a predicted model, not a curated record. The transcript has 3 exons. NCBI's taxonomy places the organism in Eukaryota, Metazoa, Arthropoda, Insecta, Hymenoptera, Formicidae.
AGAACAUACAUACUGGAAGGGCCAUACCGUAUUUGACCAAUGUAAUAAAAGUAUCUCCAACAUCUGUCUGUCCUUGUCUGAAUGCUUCACCGUAAUGUGCAUGCGAUUAUUAUUAUGUUUAAGAGUGUUCGCAUGUUUGAACUUUUUUC